This is a non-coding RNA of Mycena latifolia, 96 nucleotides long. The record is from the annotation of a GenBank genome assembly. Lineage: Eukaryota; Fungi; Basidiomycota; Agaricomycetes; Agaricales; Mycenaceae.
GGCCUGGUAGCACAGUGGUUAGUGCAUCUGCAUGUUGUGGAUUUUUCUCAUCUUAUCUUUCUGCAGAAGAUCUCCGUUCGACUCGGGGUCAGGUCA